UGCACUUCCAUCAGCUUCCGCGGUUUAUAUUUUUAUUUUAUAAGUUUUUUUUUUGUUUGCGAUUUAGAAGUCUCGAGCUUAGAUUUAAGUUUCAGCGGGCAUUGCGCCCGAAGAAGGAAGAGGCUAUAAGCCGAAGAGGCCCGGCAAACUGCCACUCAAGAGGGCAACUACUAAUGGCUCCCCAUCCCCUGGGUCAUCCAGAGCAUGGGAAGUCAUUAUUGUUACUACUUUGUCACUAUGCUCGAUUUUAGUAUUAGUAGUAGUAGUAGUAGUAGUAGUAGUAGUAGUAGUAGUAGUAGUAGUAGUAGUAGUCUUUGUUUUUUUGGCCGAUGUAUAUAUCGGUCCAUCGUCCCAUUGGGCAAAUCGCGAUUUUUCUUAUUAGUGUUUCGACAAAAUGAUUACGGUUUGAAUUAGAGUUGCGAUAAAAUGAUAAUCGCGUUUGCUUUAGA
RNAcentral lists this unclassified non-coding RNA (449 nucleotides) under Bombus terrestris (buff-tailed bumblebee). RNAcentral describes it as "misc RNA ENSBTSG00005030500.1". The record is from RNAcentral. Lineage: Eukaryota; Metazoa; Arthropoda; Insecta; Hymenoptera; Apidae.